AACGAACGCUGGCGGAAUGCCUAACACAUGCAAGUCGAACGAGAUCUUCGGGUCUAGUGGCGCACGGGCGCGUAACGCGUGGGAAUCUGCCCUUUGGUUCGGAAUAACGGUUGGAAACGACUGCUAAUACCGGAUGAUGACGAAAGUCCAAAGAUUUAUCGCCAGAGGAUGAGCCCGCGUAGGAUUAGCUAGUUGGUGUGGUAAAGGCGCACCAAGGCGACGAUCCUUAGCUGGUCUGAGAGGAUGAUCAGCCACACUGGGACUGAGACACGGCCCAGACUCCUACGGGAGGCAGCAGUGGGGAAUAUUGGACAAUGGGCGAAAGCCUGAUCCAGCAAUGCCGCGUGAGUGAUGAAGGCCUUAGGGUUGUAAAGCUCUUUUACCCGGGAUGAUAAUGACAGUACCGGGAGAAUAAGCUCCGGCUAACUCUGUGCCAGCCGCCGCCGUAA
RNAcentral lists this ribosomal RNA (449 nucleotides) under uncultured bacterium. RNAcentral's name for it is "partial 16S ribosomal RNA". It matches the Rfam family "Bacterial small subunit ribosomal RNA", at positions 29 to 523 of the family's 1533-position model. The record is from RNAcentral.